This is a long non-coding RNA of Pan troglodytes (chimpanzee), 2993 nucleotides long. RefSeq lists it as uncharacterized. The record is from RefSeq and is a predicted model, not a curated record. NCBI's taxonomy places the organism in Eukaryota, Metazoa, Chordata, Mammalia, Primates, Hominidae. The transcript is spliced from 4 exons.
GUGCCUCUGUCCCCAGGAGACCCUCGCAGUCCUCACUGUCAUAGCCACUGCCUGGGAGAGAAGCAGAGGGGUCCUGAUGACUUGAUGCCUGUUCAGUGAAAACGACUCCUUGGACCUGUCACACCCCACAAGCCAUGACCCAGCCCUGGUGGCGGCCAUGAACCUGCCGCCCCCUCCUCCAGCCCCCGAGUGACCAUGACCGGGGCUCCUGGCAGUGGCCACUCACGCCAGCAACUUGCCUGCCUCCUGGGACGCAGCCACGGAGGGCUGGGCUGGGCACCUGGGUGUCUCCCGGCUGCCGUGGCCCUUGGGCUGUGGGUGCCGUGUGGCCCCAGACACCUUGGUACUCUUGGCUCGGGACAGCUUCUCCCGGAUGCGCCCCCCAGGGGUAGCCUCCUUCUGCUGGAAAGAGCUGAGGCCUGUGGGCAGCCCUUUGCUCUUGACCUUGGGUUUCAGCUGGGCCACCCUGUGGGCCACGGAGGGCGCCAGCCCGCCCUGACAGCUGCUCUUCUUACACUGCGCCUUCUCCUGUGAACAGGGAGGGGCAGCUGCACUCUCAGGGCGCCCUCUGCAAACCACAGCCCCUGGGCGGUUAGGUGCCUCUCUGUUGAUGCCCGGCUCAGAACUGGUACCUCCAGGCCCCUGCCCUCGAUCCACAGGGGCUGAAGGGAUGUCUGGCCCAGAGACACAGGGCCUGCCCCUGGAGCCUACGCUGCGGCCUUUCCCACACACCCCACUGCCCACCAACUGCCCACCCCACGUAGGGGACAUGGAGGAGGCUGAGGGCCCAGUGGCUGUGGGUUGUGGGGCCAGGCUGUUAGCUUUUCUAAAGGGAGGGAUAAAACAGCAUCUGGGCAGAAGGAUCAGCCCCCUGGGCAGACAGGUGAAGUAUGCUGGGGCCCACGUCUCACCAGCCCCGCCGAGGCCACGGAGAGAGGAGGGGCAGGAGGCACCUGUUGUGCCAAGAAAGAAGGGGUGUCGGCAGCCGAGAGAGCCCCCACCACGCCAAGAAGAAACAGGGUGCCAGCAGCGUGGGGAGCUCCCCCACACCAAGAAGAAAGGGGGUGCCGGCAGCCGGAGGAGCCCCUGCCACACCAAGUGUGCCCUGGGCCACCUGAAGAAAGGCAGGGCCUCGCUCCAGGGAGUCUCUGUGAGCAGAGUGUAGCCUGGGCAUUUGCUUUCCUGCUGGAGUGAGACGAGGAGGGUGGAGUGACGUGGGCAAGUGGCGGCAGGGCCACCCGGUCAGACCUUCCUGCGUUACACUGCAGGGUCACGCUCCUCCUCCUGCUGUCGGCACUCGGAGCUCCCCAGCCUUGGUUCGCUCAUCUGAGCAAUGGGUUUUGGCACAGGGCUGGGGAGAGUCUGCUACCUGCCAGGAAGGGACCCGAAGGGCCCUGGGGCAAGGCGGGCGCCUCGGCACUCACCACGGAGGCGGUCUGCAGGCCCGCGUAGACGCUCCUCUCCAGCUUGCUUCGCUUCUUCGCAGGCUCGCCCCCACCGCCUCCUCGCAGCUCCGCGCACAGCAGACCCAGGCUUGUCCGCACCGCCCUGGGGGCAUGGGGUGGUGGGUGCAGGGCAGAUGCAGGCCCGGCCGCCCCAGCCUUGUCCCCCUACUGUCUCUGUAGUGGGUCACACUCCUCCAAGGGCCCCACGUCUCGGGCAGACAGAGCGGGGGGUGAGGGGCCCCGGGGGCCGAGCCAGCUCUGACCUCCCCUGAGCACCUGCCUGCAGCCAGCCCCUCUGCCUGCCAACCACUGGCCCUCAGCAGCCCCUAUAUCCUCAAAUCCGCCCCAUCCCCCACUUGGCUAUACUGGAAGUGGGCACGCUUCUGUUACCCAAAUCCCAUCCUUCCAGCCUGAUAGGAAGGAACGCCCUGGCAGUGCUGUCUGGUCCUAGCCACAGUGACCCAGAGGCCAGGUGUCGGGGGCUGGGGCCGGUGAGGGCUCUGAGGGACCGCCCAGUGCUCAGGAGCCAGGGCUCUGCUGCUACUGGGGCCUGAGUGGGGCUGCAGCCCCAGCCUUGGCACCUGGAACAAGGGACAGCCACACAUGUGCCUGUCUGAGUCUGGGGCAGGGCUUAUGCAGGCCGGGCCCGGCCCUUGGCGGGUGUUCAGGGCGUGAUGCUACCACCCUUAGGAGUGGGGCAGGCACCAGGCAGGUUUGUGAGAACUGCAUCCACAUUUCUGCCACAGCUGGAAGAGGACGCGCCAACCGGAGUCCCACCAGGGGCGGGGGUCUUAAGGAUGGAAUUCUGCAUCCCUGGCCCCUCCCAGAUGGAGCCCUGGACACUGCGGAGGCUGAGCCUCAGCAUUCCCCAUGCCCCAGAGCUGUGCUGUCCCCUAGGCUGGGAGCUGGGGCAGAAGUCAACUCCAGCCUACAUGGGCCCAGCAGCUACCUCCAGAUGCCCCAAAACAGGUGCAAAGGGAUACCCAGCUGCUCAUGAAAAUGAAUCCCAGAUGGAGACAAAGAGCCCUGCCUGGCCCUGGCGUGGCCGGAUGUCCCUUUCCACCUUCCUGCUCACAGAGGAGGCUGGGCUUCUGAGGCCUGAGGGGCCAGGCAGGAAGCCAUGGGCCACAAGGCACCCCUGGGCCCCCGCUCCCCGACUUCCUGCAUGGUAGAAGGCCCGUCCCGGGGCCAACUGCCUCUGCCACCACUGCCUGGAUGAGUGAGGGCAGGAGGUGGAAGGGUGAGGUGGGGCCCUGACCCUCGGGAAGAGGGGUCCUGGACUCAGUUUCCCUCCCUGUCCUGAGGCUGCUGCCUUCUAGCCAGAUCCUGGCUUCCAGGGGCCCUGUCCUGCCCAGCAGUUCCCACAGUGCUGGCUGGUUCUCAAAGGGAGACCCAGGAGACCUCCCCAGGAGACACCUGGGCAGGGCAGGGGCAGCUCUGGGGGGGGCAGCCAUAUGGUGACCCCUCCACUGCCCACAGCCACACAGGCCCUCCCCGUAACCUUCUCUGCAUUUGCUAAUGUUUUGUGACAUAAAGCCCUGAGAUUAA